AGUGAACGCUGGCGGUAGGCCUAAUACAUGCAAGUCGAACGGCAGCACAGUAAGAUCGUGCCCUUACGGGUGGCGAGUGGCGGACGGGUGAGGAAUGCAUCGGAAACUAAUUUUACGUGGGGGAUAACGGAGGGAAGGUGAUGAUAAUACAGCAUACGUCCUACGGGAGAAAGCAGUGGAUCUUGAGGGCUUGCGCGAUAGAAUGAGCCGACGUCGGAUUAGCUAGUUGGUAAGGUAACGGCUUACCAAGGCAACGAUACGUAGCUGAGCUGAGAGGGUGAUCGGCCACACUGGAACUGAGACACGGUCCAGACUCCUACGGGAGGCAGCAGUAGGGAAUCUUCCGCAAUGGGCGAAAGCUUGACGGAGCAACGCCGCGUGAGUGAUGAAGGUCUUCGGAUCGUAAAACUCUGUUAUUAGGGAAGAACAAAUGUGUAAGUAACUAUGCACGUCUUGACGGUACCUAAUCAGAAAGCCCCGGCUAACUACGUG
Molecule: ribosomal RNA, 492 nt
Filed under: uncultured bacterium
Lineage: Bacteria
Description: partial 16S ribosomal RNA
Rfam family: Bacterial small subunit ribosomal RNA
Source: RNAcentral